RNAcentral lists this ribosomal RNA (509 nucleotides) under uncultured bacterium. RNAcentral describes it as "bacterial SSU rRNA". It matches the Rfam family "Bacterial small subunit ribosomal RNA", at positions 34 to 518 of the family's 1533-position model. The record is from RNAcentral.
CGCUGGCGGCGUGCCUAACACAUGCAAGUCGAACGAUUCUUUGAUUAUAGCAAUAUUAUUAAAGAGGAGUGGCGAACGGGUGAGUAACACGUAGAUAAUCUGCCUUCAGACGGGGACAACUCAGGGAAACUUGUGCUAAUACCCGAUGAGACCACAAGAAGGGAUUUUUUGUGGCCAAAGGCGGGCAGCAAUGCUCGUGCUGAAAGAUGAGUCUGCGUCCUAUCAGCUAGUUGGUGGGGUAAAUGCCUACCAAGGCUAAGACGGGUAGCCGGCCUGAGAGGGUGAACGGCCACACUGGGACUGAGACACGGCCCAGACUCCUACGGGAGGCAGCAGUGAGGAAUUUUCCGCAAUGGGCGCAAGCCUGACGGAGCGACGCCGCGUGAGGGAUGAACCAGCUUUCGGGUUGUAAACCUCUUUUAUUAAGGAAAAAGAUCUAUAUGCUAAUAUCAUGUAGAUUUGAUGGUACUUAUUGAAUAAGCCCCGGCUAACUACGUGCCAGCAGCCGC